RNAcentral lists this ribosomal RNA (422 nucleotides) under uncultured bacterium. RNAcentral's name for it is "bacterial SSU rRNA". It matches the Rfam family "Bacterial small subunit ribosomal RNA", at positions 355 to 774 of the family's 1533-position model. The record is from RNAcentral.
UGGGGAAUUUUGGUCAAUGGGCGCAAGCCUGAACCAGCCAUGCCGCGUGCAGGAUGAAGCAUCUAUGGUGUGUAAACUGCUUUUGUACGGGAAGAAACCACCCCUCGUGAGGGGUAUUGACGGUACCGUAAGAAUAAGGAUCGGCUAACUCCGUGCCAGCAGCCGCGGUAAUACGGAGGAUCCAAGCGUUAUCCGGAAUCAUUGGGUUUAAAGGGUCCGUAGGCGGGUCUGUAAGUCAGUGGUGAAAUCUCCCCGCUCAACGGGGAAACUGCCAUUGAUACUGCAGGUCUUGAAUUAUUGGGAAGUAACUAGAAUAUGUAGUGUAGCGGUGAAAUGCUUAGAGAUUACAUGGAAUACCGAUUGCGAAGGCAGCCUACUACGGGGUGAUUGACACUGAGGCACGAGAGCAUGGGGAGCAAACA